Molecule: ribosomal RNA, 253 nt
Filed under: uncultured microorganism
Description: partial 16S ribosomal RNA
Rfam family: Bacterial small subunit ribosomal RNA
Source: RNAcentral
UACGGAGGGGGCAAGCGUUGUUCGGAGUUACUGGGCGUAAAGCGCGCGUAGGCGGUGCGGUAAGUCAGGGGUUAAAGGCUGCAGCUCAACUGCAGUAAGGCCUUUGAUACUAUCGUGCUAGAGUGUCAGAGAGGAUGGCGGAAUUCCUGGUGUAGCGGUGAAAUGCGUAGAUAUCGGGAGGAACACCAGUAGCGAAGGCGGCCAUCUGGCUGGUAACUGACGCUGAGGUGCGAGAGCGUGGGGAGCAAACAGG